Molecule: long non-coding RNA, 1133 nt
Organism: Clupea harengus (Atlantic herring)
Lineage: Eukaryota; Metazoa; Chordata; Actinopteri; Clupeiformes; Clupeidae
Source: Ensembl
CACACACACACACACACACACACUCACCACAGGCUCCUCUGUAGCCCCCCGCUCCUCUCUACUCCUCUUCUCUCCUCUUCUCUUCUCUUCUCUUUUCUUCUUGUCUCUUCUCACCACCGAUCCAUCUUUCUUUCCUCCCGCCUGCAAUCCUGUCUCCUCAGGUCCACAUUUGUUGUUCAUUUUGUUUGUUAAUUUUGAGUUAUUUCUCCUUGUUUUAGCUGCCACUACGCCUGGAUAACUCUGCCACAGUGGACUGGGGUGGUAAAAACACCUGUUUUAAGAUGGGACUGCAAAAAGCUGUGCAUUUCUAGCACUGUUUUUAGAGUACCAAACGUCUUCAGGAAAGUCACAGUUUGGGCAUCACCUCUAUUGUAAUAUCAGCGUUUCAAACCGCUUUGGUAGAACCGUGGCAGAGUUGAGCAUGUAUUAUGGCCGGCUGUCUGAUGCAAUUCUCUCUCUUUUUUGUGUGUGUUUUUGAAUGUAAGUAUUAUCAUGGACUUGGAACACAAAGCAAUGGUGUUAAGCUAGUUAAGUAACAGAAUCAGUAAUUGUAACCCAUCUAGCUUGUGAGAAAAUGUGCAACCAAUCCUUUGAGGAAUAACAAAAAAAGGAGGGGUAAAAAAAAUUGAAUGAUCAGGAUUAAGUGUUGUGUUUAAAAUAUGAGUUUAUCACCAUGUUUGAAAUUGACUUUGGUUGAACUUCCAAAUUGUAUGACUAUGAAUGAAAUGUUCAGACAUAUAUUUCAUCAUGUUCAGGCAUAAUGGCAAACGCUCCCACAUGAACAGUCUAGUUAAGUAUUGUGCAAUACCAUGGCUCUGGAACAGUACAAUGUUGUAGACAUGCCAGUAAUAAAGUGAAGGUCUUCUGUUUGAUGAAAGGUACUGUGUGUUGUAGGCUUUUUGUCAACACUCCUCUACCGUUUUGUUACCAUGUGUCUGAAGUAAUGAAAGCAAAUGUGUUCUUUGCACUAUGUACAUAAUAGCAAACAACCUCUUGUAACUAAUGUGAAAAAGUACCUUUUUCAGUGUGUGGCUGUUCUUUAUAUUACUAUUUAAGAGUUGCUCUUUAAAACUGUACAGCACUAGUAACAUGUAGAUGCCUCGCAUACCUAAUUGUAAUCUUAACUAUCUGAC